UCUGGGCAGCCAAGAAUGACUCCAUCAGGGCAGUCAAUCUGGAUACUUCCUCCUUAAGCUCACGAUUCUCUUGUUCCAAAUGAUCUAUCAGUCUUGAAAUGAUGGCUCUGGUGUAGUACCAGUGAGUCAGCUUGUCUUCAAAAUAAAUGAAGAACCCAGAGUUAGACCAUAGAACAAGAAGCCUGGAGCAAAACCUGCUUAUGCACAUGAUGCAUGCAAUGCUUGUGCAUAUGAUUUAUUUUUAUUUAUCAGAGGAACUUUAGAGUUAUAUUUGCAAAAUAUUGGAACUAUUAAACAUUUAUCACAUAUGGAAAUAUUGCAUCAAUAAUAUUUAGAAAUAUUUUUACACCAAAGAAGUACAGUCUUGGU
Molecule: long non-coding RNA, 369 nt
Filed under: Lathyrus oleraceus (garden pea)
Lineage: Eukaryota; Viridiplantae; Streptophyta; Magnoliopsida; Fabales; Fabaceae
Description: Pisum sativum (pea) long non-coding RNA (PSAT_LNC016924)
Source: RNAcentral